UCCUACGGGAGGCAGCAGUGGGGAAUAUUGGACAAUGGGGGCAACCCUGAUCCAGCAAUGCCGCGUGUGUGAAGAAGGCCUUCGGGUUGUAAAGCACUUUCAGUAGGGAAGAAGGGCUCAAGAUUAAUACUCUUGAGAGUUGACGUUACCUACAGAAGAAGCACUGGCUAACUCUGUGCCAGCAGCCGCGGUAAUACAGAGAGUGCGAGCGUUAAUCGGAAUUACUGGGCGUAAAGCGCUCGUAGGUGGGUAUUUAAGUCGGAUGUGAAAGCCCUGGGCUCAACCUAGGAACUGCAUCCGAUACUGGGCACCUAGAGUAUGGUAGAGGGAAGUGGAAUUUCCGGUGUAGCGGUGAAAUGCGUAGAUAUCGGAAAGAACACCAGUGGCGAAGGCGGCUUCCUGGACCAAUACUGACACUGAGGUGCGAAAGCGUGGGGAGCAAACAGGAUUAGAGACCCUGGUAGUCCACGCCGUCAACGAUGAGAACUGGCUGUUGGGGGAGACUUCCUCUUAGUAGCGUAGCUAACGCGUUAAGUUCUCCGC
RNAcentral lists this ribosomal RNA (543 nucleotides) under uncultured bacterium. RNAcentral's name for it is "bacterial SSU rRNA". It matches the Rfam family "Bacterial small subunit ribosomal RNA", at positions 337 to 872 of the family's 1533-position model. The record is from RNAcentral.